GAGUUUGAUCGUGGCUCAGAUUGAACGCUGGCGGCAGGCUUAACACAUGCAAGUCGAGCGGAGAUGAGGUGCUUGCACCUUAUCUCAGCGGCGGACGGGUGAGUAAUGCUUAGGAAUCUGCCUAUUAGUGGGGGACAACAUUCCGAAAGGGAUGCUAAUACCGCAUACGUCCUACGGGAGAAAGCAGGGGAUCUUCGGACCUUGCGCUAAUAGAUGAGCCUAAGUCGGAUUAGCUAGUUGGUGGGGUAAAGGCCUACCAAGGCGACGAUCUGUAGCGGGUCUGAGAGGAUGAUCCGCCACACUGGGACUGAGACACGGCCCAGACUCCUACGGGAGGCAGCAGUGGGGAAUAUUGGACAAUGGGGGGGAACCCUGAUCCAGCCAUGCCGCGUGUGUGAAGAAGGCCUUAUGGUUGUAAAGCACUUUAAGCGAGGAGGAGGCUACUGAGACUAAUACUCUUGGAUAGUGGACGUUACUCGCAGAAUAAGCACCGGCUAACU
Molecule: ribosomal RNA, 500 nt
Filed under: uncultured microorganism
Description: bacterial SSU rRNA
Rfam family: Bacterial small subunit ribosomal RNA
Source: RNAcentral